AGCAGCCGCGGUAAUUCCAGCUCCAAUAGCGUAUAUUAAAGUUGUUGCAGUUAAAAAGCUCGUAGUUGAAUUUCGGGAUCAAUAUGUUGGUCGUGCCUCGGUACGUACUAGCAUAUUGGUUUCUCCUUUCUGAAGAACCAUGAUGCCAUUUAUUUGGUGUCGUGGGGAAUCAGGACUGUUACUUUGAAAAAAUUAGAGUGUUUAAAGCAGGCUCACGCUUGAAUACAUUAGCAUGGAAUAAUGAAAUAGGACGUUUGAUUCUAUUUUGUUGGUUUCUAGGAUCGACGUAAUGAUUAAUAGGGAUAGUUGGGGGCAUUAGUAUUCAAUUGUCAGAGGUGAAAUUCUUGGAUUUAUUGAAGACUAACUACUGCGAAAGCAUUUGCCAAGGAUGUUUUCAUUAAUCAAGAACGAAAGUUAGGGGAUCGAAGACGAUCAGAUACCGUCGUAGUCUUAACCAUAAACUAUGCCGACUAGGGAUCGGAUGAUGUUAAUUUUUAAUGACUCAUUCGCGCCUUAACC
This 519-nucleotide unclassified non-coding RNA is filed under the name uncultured Glomus. RNAcentral's name for it is "SSU rRNA". It matches the Rfam family "Eukaryotic small subunit ribosomal RNA", at positions 569 to 1092 of the family's 1831-position model. Lineage: Eukaryota; Fungi; Glomeromycota; Glomeromycetes; Glomerales; Glomeraceae. The record is from RNAcentral.